Molecule: transfer RNA, 60 nt
Filed under: Clavisyllis tenjini
Lineage: Eukaryota; Metazoa; Annelida; Polychaeta; Phyllodocida; Syllidae
Description: tRNA-Cys
Source: RNAcentral
AUUAUAUAGUUGAAUUACAACAUAAAACUGCAACUUUUAAAGUGUUUAAGACUAUAAUUU